RNAcentral lists this ribosomal RNA (373 nucleotides) under uncultured bacterium. Its description in RNAcentral is "bacterial SSU rRNA". It matches the Rfam family "Bacterial small subunit ribosomal RNA", at positions 524 to 898 of the family's 1533-position model. The record is from RNAcentral.
UACGUAGGGGGCAAGCGUUAUCCGGAAUUAUUGGGCGUAAAGAGUGCGUAGGUGGUCUUGUAAGCGCGGGGUGAAAGGCAAUAGCUUAACUAUUGUGAGCCCUGCGAACUGUGAGACUUGAGUGCAGGAGAGGAAAGCGGAAUUCCUAGUGUAGCGGUGAAAUGCGUAGAUAUUAGGAGGAACACCAGUGGCGAAGGCGGCUUUCUGGACUGUAACUGACACUGAGGCACGAAAGCGUGGGGAGCAAACAGGAUUAGAUACCCUGGUAGUCCACGCCGUAAACGAUGAGCACUAGGUGUCGGGGCCGCAAGGUUUCGGUGCCGCAGUUAACGCAUUAAGUGCUCCGCCUGGGGAGUACGCACGCAAGUGUGAA